AGCUAGAUGGUAAGGUAACGGCUUACCAUGGCAAUGAUGGCUAGGGGUUCUGCAAGGAAGAUCCCCCACACUGGUACUGAGACACGGACCAGACUCCUACGGGAGGCAGCAGUGAGGAAUAUUGGUCAAUGGAGGCAACUCUGAACCAGCCAAGCCGCGUGAAGGAAGACUGUUCUAUGAAUUGUAAACUUCUUUUGUGACAGAGUAAAGAUAGCUGCGCGUAGUUAUUUGCAAGUAUGUCAUGAAUAAGCAUCGGCUAACUCCGUGCCAGCAGCCGCGGUAAUACGGAGGAUGCAGGCGUUAUCCGGAUUUAUUAGGUUUAAAGGGUGUUCAGGCUGUCUGGUAAGUCAGAGGUGAAAGUCGGUUGCUUAACGAUCGAAUUGCCUUUGAAACUGUCAGACUUGAGUAUGGAUGUGGUAGGCGGAAUGUGUAGUGUAGCGGUGAAAUGCAUAGAUAUUACACAGAACUCCAAUUGCGAAAGCAGCUUACCAAACCAGCACUGACGCUGAAGCACGAAAGCGUGGGUAGCGAACAGGAUUAGAUACCCUGGUAGUCCACGCAGUAAACGAUGCUCACUCGCUGUUGGCAAUACACCGUCAGCGGCUAAGGGAAACCGAUAAGUGAGCCACCUGGGGAGUACGAUCGCAAGAUUGAAACUCAAAGGAAUUGACGGGGGCCCGCACAAGCGGUGGAACAUGUGGUUUAAUUCGAUGAUACGCGAGGAACCUUACCUGGGCUUAAAUGUGAAGUGCAUUGUUUGGAAACAGACAUUUCCUUCGGGACUCUUUACAAGGUGCUGCAUGGUUGUCGUCAGCUCGUGCCGUGAGGUGUCGGGUUAAGUCCCAUAACGAGCGCAACCCCUAUUGUUAGUUACCAGCGCGUCAAGGCGGGGACUCUAACGAGACUGCCGGUGUAAACCGCGAGGAAGGUGGGGAUGACGUCAAAUCAGCACGGCCCUUAUGUCCAGGGCUACACACGUGUUACAAUGGUCGGUACAGAGGGCAGCUAGGCAGCGAUGUCAAGCGAAUCUCGAAAGCCGAUCCCAGUUCGGAUUGGAGUCUGCAACCCGACUCCAUGAAGGUGGAAUCGCUAGUAAUCGCGCAUCAGCCAUGGCGCGGUGAUACGUUCCCGGGCCUUGUACACACCGCCCGUCAAGCCAUGGAAGUCUGGGGUGCCUGAAGGCCGUAACCGCAAGGA
RNAcentral lists this ribosomal RNA (1197 nucleotides) under uncultured organism. RNAcentral describes it as "bacterial SSU rRNA". It matches the Rfam family "Bacterial small subunit ribosomal RNA", at positions 243 to 1451 of the family's 1533-position model. The record is from RNAcentral.